GGGUGUGCAGCUCAGUGGUAGAGCGGCUGACUGCAGAUCUGCAGGUCCUCGGUUCAAAUCCGGGCCCGUCCU
This 72-nucleotide transfer RNA is filed under the name Perkinsus olseni. RNAcentral's name for it is "tRNA-Cys". It matches the Rfam family "tRNA". From Rfam's summary of the family: Transfer RNA (tRNA) molecules are approximately 80 nucleotides in length. Lineage: Eukaryota; Perkinsozoa; Perkinsida; Perkinsidae. The record is from RNAcentral.